AGUAAUGUAUGGGGAUCUGCCUGAUGGCGGGGGAUAACUACUGGAAACGGUAGCUAAUACCGCAUAAUGUCUACGGACCAAAGCGGGGGACCUCCGGGCCUCGCGCCAUCAGAUGAACCCAUAUGGGAUUAGCUAGUAGGUGAGGUAACGGCUCACCUAGGCGACGAUCCCUAGCUGGUCUGAGAGGAUGACCAGCCACACUGGAACUGAGACACGGUCCAG
Molecule: ribosomal RNA, 222 nt
Filed under: uncultured bacterium
Lineage: Bacteria
Description: partial 16S ribosomal RNA
Rfam family: Bacterial small subunit ribosomal RNA
Source: RNAcentral